GACGAACGCUGGCGGCGUGCUUAACACAUGCCAGUCGAACGGAAAGGCCCUGCUUUUGUGGGGUUCUCGCGUGGCGCACGGGUGUGUAACACGUGAGUAUCCUGCCCUUGACUUUGGGAUAACUUCAGGAAACUGCGGCUAAUACCGGAUAGGAGCUCCUGCUGCAUGGUGGGGGUUGGAAAGUUUCGGCGGGUGGGGAUCGACUCGCGGCUUAUCAGCUUGUUGGUGGAGUAGUGGCUUACCAAGCGUUCGACGGGUAGCCGGCCUGAGAGGGGGGACGGGGACAAGGGGACUGAGAGAGGGCGCAGAAGCCAACGGGAGGCAGUAGGGGGGAGUAUUGCACAAUGGGGGGAAGCGUGAGGCAGAAGCGCUGGGUGCGGGAUGACGGCCUACGGGGGGUAAACCGCUUUCGCCUGUGACGAAGCGGGAGUGACGGUAAUGGGUAAAGAAGCACCGGCUAACUACGUG
Molecule: ribosomal RNA, 468 nt
Filed under: uncultured bacterium
Lineage: Bacteria
Description: partial 16S ribosomal RNA
Rfam family: Bacterial small subunit ribosomal RNA
Source: RNAcentral